AAAAAAACAAGAUUUGGUAUUAGAAGUUUUAACUCACAGGUAGAUUUAAAUAUAACUUUACACAACAUAUGAACAAAUAGCAAUAUACAAAUAAUAAUAAAGCCUCAAGCAACUAUACUGGCAAAACCUUAUGAUGGGACAUGAAUGUCUAAAUAAAUGAGAAGGAAUAACUUGCAUCAAGCCAGCAAGCAGAGCUGUCCUAGUAAAGAAAAAAAUCUAUAAUUUUCAUCGAAAAUAUUUUAUUUCUCCAAGAUAUAUUUGUGGAUAAUCCAAUGUGCACAAAGCAGUGAAUUGUGGAUGUUCCAUAUUCGCGGCAAAGCAAUCAAAUAUAUUUUAAGGUCGGAUCAUACUUUUCCUUGAUGGAUUGCUCCUUAAUGCUUGACCUGCACUGGAAAUGUGUGAAGUUUGGAUGAAGGUGAGAUCUUUGAAGCUGUUUUACUUCCUGCUGGCCCUUUCUUGGAAGCUGCUGGGGACGAACCCUUAGCUGCACUUCUUUCUGCAAUCCUCUUUUGCCUCUCGAUCACUAAUUCUUCCAUUCUCUUGCGCAUUUCUUCGUCCCGAUCUAAUUUGCUCUUCUGGGUUGUCAGUUUGUUAGUAGGAGGAGACAUCUUCUUGCUCUUUGCUAAAGCAUCAAUCCUGCU
Molecule: unclassified non-coding RNA, 641 nt
Filed under: Hevea brasiliensis (rubber tree)
Lineage: Eukaryota; Viridiplantae; Streptophyta; Magnoliopsida; Malpighiales; Euphorbiaceae
Source: RNAcentral